GAAAUGCGAUAAGUAAUGUGAAUUGCAGAAUUCAGUGAAUCAUCGAAUCUUUGAACGCACAUUGCGCCCGCCAGUAUUCUGGCGGGCAUGCCUGUUCGAGCGUCAUUACAACCCUCAGGCCCCCGGGCCUGGCGUUGGGGAUCGGCGGAAGCCCCCUGCGGGCACAACGCCGUCCACCAAAUACAGUGGCGGUCCCGCCGCAGCUUCCAUUGCGUAGUAGCUAACACCUCGCAACUGGAGAGCGGCGCGGCCACGCCGUAAAACACCCAACUUCUGAAUGUUGACCUCGAAUCAGGUAGGAAUACCCGCUGAACUUAAGC
Molecule: unclassified non-coding RNA, 320 nt
Filed under: plant metagenome
Description: partial contains 5.8S ribosomal RNA, internal transcribed spacer 2, and large subunit ribosomal RNA
Rfam family: 5.8S ribosomal RNA (bases 1-105)
Source: RNAcentral